UGUAAAAGAGGGGAUCCACCCUAUAAAUGGGGUUACAACCCACCGCCUACAUUCAGCCACUUUUAC
Molecule: transfer RNA, 66 nt
Filed under: Ctenophorus reticulatus
Lineage: Eukaryota; Metazoa; Chordata; Lepidosauria; Squamata; Agamidae
Description: tRNA-Tyr
Source: RNAcentral